AGAGUUUGAUACUGGCUCAGGAUGAACGCUAGCGGCAGGCCUAAUACAUGCAAGCUGAACGGUAAAUAUUGUAGCAAUACGAUAUGAGAGUAGCGUAAGGGUGCGUAACACGUAUGCAAUCUGCCCUGUACAGGAGGAUAGCUCGGCGAAAGCCGGAUUAAUACUCCGUAAUAUUAUUGAGUGGCAUCAUUUGAUAAUUAAAGUCGCAAGACGGUAUGGGAUGAGCAUGCGUCUGAUUAGCUAGUUGGUGGUGUAACGGACCACCAAGGCGAUGAUCAGUAGGGGAACUGAGAGGUUGAUCCCCCACACUGGCACUGAGAUACGGGCCAGACUCCUACGGGAGGCAGCAGUAGGGAAUAUUGGUCAAUGGAUGCAAGUCUGAACCAGCCAUGCCGCGUGCAGGAAGAAGGCCUUCUGGGUUGUAAACUGCUUUUGCCGGGGGAUAAAAUUCCCAUGCGUGGGAAAUUGAAGGUACCCGGUGAAUAAGCCACGGCUAACUA
This 500-nucleotide ribosomal RNA is filed under the name uncultured bacterium. RNAcentral describes it as "bacterial SSU rRNA". It matches the Rfam family "Bacterial small subunit ribosomal RNA", at positions 8 to 503 of the family's 1533-position model. The record is from RNAcentral.